GUCAAGAGGGACAUGAGGGACUCCUUGUCCUCUCAGUAACACUGCUUUGCACUCACAGCCAAAGGCAGAGAAACUUCAUUCUGUCACUGGAUGCCCUCUGCGUGCAUCGGUGAGUCUCUGCAGGGCUGCUAGAAAGCUGUGCACGCAGAGCUCCACUAAUCUCAGGCUGAAUAUUAGGAAGGAAUUUCUCCUCAGAAAGAGAGGUCAUGAUGCCCAGGACCCUCUCUGGUUUUCCACAUCCCUCUUGACCCAAAACUGGACACCACAUUUCAGAUAUGGUCUCGUCCUCACCAGGCAGGGCUGAAAAACAAAGCUAUUGCACAGGAAAAGCAAUGCAACAGCUGCUUCUGACCAGUGAACUAAAGCCAUAACAAACAACAAGAAUUGUGGAAUUGUGUUUACACAGUGCAGCUUAUACCACAAUAAAUACUGCUUUACUCGUGGGAACCGUCAGGUCCAAGUGCCAGAUGUCUUCAUCAUUCUAGCAUGCAAAAAAGGCAGCAAGUGGUCUACCUGCAGCUGGAGAGACUUCUGCAUUAACUCCAGUGCAGUGGUUUGCAGUCAGUCCAAGAGUCCUGUGAGCUAACUGACAUUAAGCUACAAAUAAUUUCCCUUGGCAUUGGCAGCCCGAAUUUCCUUCCAGCUUCCACCACCACUCCGUCCUGGACAGUCCUCAUUCCUUUUUGUGCAGAUGCAUUUUGUAUUUUUGUGCAACCCAAUGGUGUAUGCAUUGCACGCAUAGCGUGAAGCAAUCUCUGCUCGAACUGUCCUGCAGUAGACCUAAGGGAUGACAGAUGAAUUUUUCUGAAGUUGAGUAUUGGGGCAGAGGCCAUUGCGUGGCAGUCAGAUUUCAGCAUUUCAGCACCUAUUUCAUUGUCAGGGAUCAAAUGUGAUUUCCAAAAGCAACUAAAUGAGAAGCAUUCCAGAUAAACAUUACUGCAUUGGCACCAAGGAGCAGCACCAUGUUGGUUUCCCAAUGGUUUCCCAUUUAUAUGAAAGGACAGUACAGAAAAGUAAGUCCUCUAAAAAACAUGUAAGUUCCCCUCUUCCACAGUCAUCAUGGCAUGAACUUUAUGGUAUAUGGCCUGGAAAGACUUAGAAAGCAAUUUCCACACUACAGCUGCACUCAUAAACAGAUUAAUCUAAACAACACUGGUGUUACAGAUGAAACAUUAUUAGCAUGUAAAAAGUGCUUGUUACUGAAGGCUUUUAUUUAUGUAAUAAUAAUAUAAUAAUUACUAAUGGAAGUCCUUAGGACUUUGCAGAUAAGAAACCCAGUGUCAUAUCUAAUAUUUUCAGGGUAUAAAUCCAAAGCCCAGACAAGCAAAGCAACAGGUCAGUGCAGAAAGAAUGCUUUAAAACUUUGGAUUAGUGCUGUGUCUGUUUCCUGUUCUCGGGGGCAGUUUAUGUAGCACCUGAAGCUUUCAAAGAAGCCUGUAAUCAUCUUUUAGCCACACACUUAAUUUGUGUUUAUGCCUCAUUCUGUUUACAUUCUCCAUGCUUCUAGUAACCCUGAGUUCCUAGAACACCUUCAAUUAUAUGUGAUGCUACACAGAUCCUUGAGGCAGCCAAGCAAACUCAAGCCCAUGAAGAGGGAAAGGUUUGGAUGCCCUGAUGCCUGCAAGAAGCCUUUUUUGCACCAUGGUGCAAAGCAUAAUUUGAGAAAACAUAUAGAGGAAAAAGUAAGAAACAGCAAGAAAGAACAAACCAGCCCUAGAUGAGUGAGAAACCUGUCUUUUUCCUGCAUUUUUAUCUAAAAAAUAUGUGUAAUUUCCAUUAAAUACAAUAAUUACUCAUUCCUUUUAAUGAUACCUUUUGAUUCAAAUGUUCUUUUGUUAUUUGUUCUAAGAAUAAAUCCUAGAUAAUUUUUCAAGGGAAAUUUUCCCUUGAGUUCCCAAGACUUUAGACUUUUUCCUGCAAAAUCCAGAGGGCUUGGUGAAAAGACGUCACACUGGGAGAUGAUGGCCAAGGUCCGAAGGACGGAGGAAGGAACAUUCAGUGGUGUAUAAAUCAGUUACUGGAAUGACCCAGAGGUCAAGGGAGGAGGAUGGAGCAAGGAAGGGAGGAGUUUAGGAAGACGAGAGAAAUGGUGUGAUAAGAAACUGGUGGAAGGGUCAGUGGGAAAGCAAAAUAGAGAAGUCUGUUAAGCUUGGCAGAUCAGCAGGAGAAGCUUUGUGAUUUGGGCCCAUUCUUUUCCUCCCAUGCAUUUGGGCAGGCAGCUCUACUAAAGGUUUGGAGGAGCAGGAUAAAGGCAGCAUAGAGGAUCUUUCAUCCAGCAUCUGCUUGAAAUGAACACAUGUUGACAAUUUAUUUCUACUGAAAAGCUGCAGAAGUCACUACAAUAACCCUCCUGUGGGUAUCUAUAAUUUCAUUACAUUAAGAUCACUGCCUUUUCUCAGCAAAGAAGUGUUUUUCCCGACUUGCUGUACUUCAUAAUGG
Long non-coding RNA from Gallus gallus (chicken), 2439 nucleotides. NCBI's taxonomy places the organism in Eukaryota, Metazoa, Chordata, Aves, Galliformes, Phasianidae. The record is from Ensembl.